GACGAACGCUGGCGGCGUGCUUAACACAUGCAAGUCGAACGGCAAGGCACUGCUUUUGUGGUGUGCUCGAGUGGCGAACGGGUGAGUAACACGUGAGUAACCUGCCCUUGACUUUGGGAUAACUUCAGGAAACUGGGGCUACUACAGGAUAGGAGCUCCUGCUGCAUGGUGGGGGUUGGAAAGUUUCGGCGGUUGGGGAUGGACUGGCGGCUUAUCGGCUUGUUGGUGGGGUAGUGGCUUACCAAGGCUUGGACGGGUCGGCGGCCUGCGAGGGUGACCGGCGACCUUGGGACUGAGAGACGGCCCAGACUCCUACGGUAGGCAGCAGGGGGGAAGAUUGCACAAUGGGCGGAAGCCGGAUGCAGCAACGCCGCGUGCGGGAUGACGGCCUUCUUGGUGUAAACCGCUUGCGCCUGUGACGAAGGGUGAGUGACGGUAAUGGGUAGAGAAGCACCGGCUAACUACGUG
This 468-nucleotide ribosomal RNA is filed under the name uncultured bacterium. Its description in RNAcentral is "partial 16S ribosomal RNA". It matches the Rfam family "Bacterial small subunit ribosomal RNA", at positions 28 to 507 of the family's 1533-position model. The record is from RNAcentral.